AGCCUAAGUCCCGCAAGGGAUAUGGCACAAAAUCCUAAGUAACAAACAUGGUCUUCUGACCAGCACUUGUUACUUAGGUCUAUAUCCGAAAGGAUGUAGGGCGGUUCCGAAAGGAGCUGUC
RNAcentral lists this small RNA (121 nucleotides) under unclassified sequences. RNAcentral's name for it is "LOOT RNA". It matches the Rfam family "LOOT RNA". From Rfam's summary of the family: Latescibacteria, OD1/Parcubacteria, OP11, TM7. The record is from Rfam by way of RNAcentral.